CACGGCGAGAGGACAACCGGCAGCCGGCACGGGACGUCUCCUGGGUCCGGCCCUGUGCCCCGCUUCUCUCGGCCGAUUGAAUCAGCAUCCUCACUGUAACGCACCGAACGUCAAGUGCGGGCUGGCCUGGCCUCGUGUGACCUGCCGGGAGGACCAUGGGAACGCCACGGGGCGAACACAGACAAGACGGACGGCCGGCCCGCAGGAGAGAAGGCCCAGGGAAGGGGUGGUGUCACCCCAGCACGGGCGGCUGCCGAUCUACCUCCCUUCCCUCGGCCUAUUAUGUUUUGAAGUGCCUGCUCCGCACAGCGACCGGGACAGGAGGGAAAGACCCACGAAAACCAAGUAAAGAACUAAAUGAACAAAGUAGCCGCAGACGAUGACCCAGCCCUGAGGAAAGUGAACACACAAUGGGGUACAGAAAGGCUGGGCCGGGGAAGAUUAACAAAAAUAAAUUUUAAAACUUUAAAACACAUAAAAAUGACUGUAGGCAGGAGCCUAAACUUCUCGGGGAGGAAGUUUCCUUAGGCCCCCAAGGCUUAGGGGAGUUCAGGAAACCAUCCAGGAGCUGG
Molecule: long non-coding RNA, 572 nt
Organism: Myotis lucifugus (little brown bat)
Lineage: Eukaryota; Metazoa; Chordata; Mammalia; Chiroptera; Vespertilionidae
Exons: 3
Source: RefSeq, a predicted model, not a curated record